Molecule: ribosomal RNA, 304 nt
Filed under: uncultured bacterium
Lineage: Bacteria
Description: bacterial SSU rRNA
Rfam family: Bacterial small subunit ribosomal RNA
Source: RNAcentral
AGUAAAUAGAUACCCCCGGUAGUCCACGCUGUAAACGAUGAGUGCUGGACGUUGGCGGGUUUACCUGCCGGUGUCGCAGCUAAACGCGUUAAGCACUCCGCCUGGGGAGUACGGCCGCAAGGUUAAAACUCAAAGGAAUUGACGGGGGCCCGCACAAGCGGUGGAGCAUGUGGUUUAAUUCGACGCAACGCGCAGAACCUUACCAGCCCUUGACAUGGGCGGACGGGGUCCAGAGAUGGACUCUUUCUCGCAAGAGACCGCUACACAGGUGCUGCAUGGCUGUCGUCAGCUCGUGUCGUGAGAU